UACGUAGGAGGCGAGCGUUAUCCGGAUUUACUGGGCGUAAAGAGCGCGUAGGUGGCUCUGUAAGUUGGGCGUGAAAGCCCCCGGCUUAACUGGGGAGGGUCGUUCAAUACUGCAGGGCUUGAGGGUGGAUGAAGAGACUGGGAUUCCCGGUGUAGUGGUGAAAUGCGUAGAUAUCGGGAGGAACACCUGUGGCAAAGGCGAGUCUCUAGGCCACUCCUGACACUGAGGCGCGAAAGCGUGGGGAGCAAAC
This 250-nucleotide ribosomal RNA is filed under the name uncultured bacterium. Its description in RNAcentral is "partial 16S ribosomal RNA". It matches the Rfam family "Bacterial small subunit ribosomal RNA", at positions 524 to 773 of the family's 1533-position model. The record is from RNAcentral.